ACUGACACAGGAUGACGAGGAUGAAGACGGUGAAUCUGAACAAUCAGGCAAGCAAAGUUUCUUCUUUGUUUAUUGUAAAACUUGCAAGAAACUAACACAAGGAAAAUUGCGAUGUCGAUGUUCAAAUUGCAAGGAAGGAAGCUUUGUUCUAUCACAGGGUCCAAAUGGUUGGGACGAUGUAUUGAUCAAAGGCCGAAUGCAGGGACAAUGUGAAUCCAAUACAAACUGUCAGGGAAAAACAGCUGAAUUUUAUUUCAAAUGUGGGGAACAUCAUGG
This is a long non-coding RNA of Dendronephthya gigantea, 276 nucleotides long. RefSeq lists it as uncharacterized. The record is from RefSeq and is a predicted model, not a curated record. Lineage: Eukaryota; Metazoa; Cnidaria; Anthozoa; Malacalcyonacea; Nephtheidae. The transcript has 4 exons.